This is a non-coding RNA of Sus scrofa (pig), 1082 nucleotides long. The record is from RefSeq and is a predicted model, not a curated record. Lineage: Eukaryota; Metazoa; Chordata; Mammalia; Artiodactyla; Suidae.
UUGAGGUUUGAGUAAAGACUAUAGGAAGUAAACAAGUUUACCAGGUAGAUCUCUGUGGGCAAAACCUUCCAGGUAGAAGAACCAUCAAGUUCAAAGUUCGGAUGCAUUUAAGGAACAGCAUGAAAGAAAGUCACAGUGGCCAUUAUGAAGGAAGCAAAUAGGAGAGUGCAAGGGGAUGAGGUUAAAGGCACUUCAGGUCUGAAUUAUGUCCACACCUUGUGGGUAGGAAGAGGGCCACUGGAGGGGUUUUAAGCAGAAGAGUAAUAUGACCUGACAGCUGUCUUCAUGGGAUUACUUUGACUGGUAUGUUGAUAUAAUCUGAAGGAGGGCAGAAGAAGAAGCAAGGCUACCCUUUAGGAGGCUGAUGAUGCAACUUCAGGAGAGAAGAACCGGUGGCUUCUGCUGGAAUAGCGGUGGUUAGGAUUGUGAGAUGUGAUUGGAUUCUUGAUAUGUUUUCUAGGUGUUGGUGUCAUGAUUUGCUAACAGACCAUAUUUGAAGUGUGAAAUAAAAGGGAAGGAAGAUGACUCAGAGUUUUGACAUAAGCCUAAAAAAAGAAGUUGCCAAGGACUGAAAAGGGGAAAAGUACUGGAGAAGUUUGCUUUUAUCCUUGUUUUUCGGGAAGAGAGAGGAGAGUGGAAGUUAAAAGUUUGGACUGAGCAUUGGAAAUAUGAGAUGUCUGCUACAUAUCCAAGUCAAAAUGUGACUUUCCCUGAGAAGACGUCCCCUGACUGAGAGCCAGUUCCUCCUUGGAGCCCUGAUACCAUGCAGAGUUCUGCAUCCACAGAUCCAACCACCUGAAGACUGAAAAUAUUUUAAAAAAUUCCAGAAAGUUUUAAAAAACCAAACUCAAAUUUGUCAUGUAUAGUGACUAUUUCCACAACAUUUACAUUGUAUUUACAACUAUUUCCAUAGCAUUUACAUUGUAUUAGAUAUUAUAAGAAAUCUAGAGAUAAUUUAAGGUAUACUGGAGGAUGUAUGCAAAUACAGUGCCAUUUUAUAUACGGGUUUUGUGCUCUCUUGAAUUUUGGUAUCUUGGAAGAUGCUGGACUCUAUCGCCCAUGGAUGCCAAGGGACACCUAAU